GAUGAACGCUGGCGGCGUGCCUAAUACAUGCAAGUCGAGCGAACAGAUGAGGAGCUUGCUCCUCUGACGUUAGCGGCGGACGGGUGAGUAACACGUGGAUAACCUACCUAUAAGACUGGGAUAACUUCGGGAAACCGGAGCUAAUACCGGAUAAUAUAUUGAACCGCAUGGUUCAAUAGUGAAAGACGGUUUUGCUGUCACUUAUAGAUGGAUCCGCGCCGCAUUAGCUAGUUGGUAAGGUAACGGCUUACCAAGGCAACGAGGCGUAGCCGACCUGAGAGGGACGUCGGCCAGCCUGGAACAGAGACACGGCCCAGACUCCGACGGGGGGAAGCAGUAGAGAAUCUUCCGCGAUGGGCGAAAGCCUGACGGAGCAACGCCGCGUGAGGGAUGAAGGUCUUCGGAUGGUAAAGCUCUGUUAUUAGGGAAGAAGAAAUGUGUAAGUAACUAUGAACAUAUUGACGGUACCUGAUCAGAAAGCCCCGGCUAACUACGUG
This 497-nucleotide ribosomal RNA is filed under the name uncultured bacterium. Its description in RNAcentral is "partial 16S ribosomal RNA". It matches the Rfam family "Bacterial small subunit ribosomal RNA", at positions 28 to 507 of the family's 1533-position model. The record is from RNAcentral.